UACGUAGGGUGCAAGCGUUGUCCGGAAUUAUUGGGCGUAAAGGGCACGCAGGCGGCUCCUUACGUCUGAUGUGAAAGCCCGGGGCUCAACCACGGAGGGCCAUUGGAAACUGGGGAACUUGAGAACGGAAGAGGAGAGCGGAAUUCCAGGUGUAGCGGUGAAAUGCGUAGAUAUGUGGAGGAACACCAGUGGCGAAGGCGACUCUCUGGUCGGUUACUGACGCUGAGGUGCGAAAGCGUGGGUAGCAAACAGG
RNAcentral lists this unclassified non-coding RNA (253 nucleotides) under uncultured Bacillaceae bacterium. RNAcentral describes it as "contains 16S-23S intergenic spacer region". It matches the Rfam family "Bacterial small subunit ribosomal RNA", at positions 524 to 776 of the family's 1533-position model. Lineage: Bacteria; Bacillati; Bacillota; Bacilli; Caryophanales; Bacillaceae. The record is from RNAcentral.